RNAcentral lists this ribosomal RNA (393 nucleotides) under uncultured bacterium. RNAcentral describes it as "partial 16S ribosomal RNA". It matches the Rfam family "Bacterial small subunit ribosomal RNA", at positions 523 to 918 of the family's 1533-position model. The record is from RNAcentral.
AUACGGAGGAUGCGAGCGUUAUCCGGAUUUAUUGGGUUUAAAGGGUGCGUAGGCUGUGCGUUAAGUCAGGGGUGAAAUGCCGUCGCUCAACGACGGAGCUGCCCUUGAUGCUGGCGUGCUGGAGUACGGAUGCCGUUGGAGGAAUGAGUGGUGUAGCGGUGAAAUGCUUAGAUAUCACUCAGAACACCGAUUGCGAAGGCAUCUGACGAAUCCGUCACUGACGCUAAAGCUCGAAGGUGCGGGUAUCGAACAGGAUUAGAUACCCUGGUAGUCCGCACGGUAAACGAUGGAUGCCCGCUGUUUGCGAUAUACUGUGAGCGGCCAAGAGAAAUCGUUAAGCAUCCCACCUGGGGAGUACGCCGGCAACGGUGAAACUUAAAGGAAUUGGCGGGG